AGAGUUUGAUCAUGGCUCAGAUUGAACGCUGGCGGCAGGCCUAACACAUGCAAGUCGAACGGUAACAGGAAGAAGCUUGCUUCUUUGCUGACGAGUGGCGGACGGGUGAGUAAUGUCUGGGAAACUGCCUGAUGGAGGGGGAUAACUACUGGAAACGGUAGCUAAUACCGCAUAACGUCGCAAGACCAAAGAGGGGGACCUUCGGGCCUCUUGCCAUCGGAUGUGCCCAGAUGGGAUUAGCUAGUAGGUGGGGUAACGGCUCACCUAGGCGACGAUCCCUAGCUGGUCUGAGAGGAUGACCAGCCACACUGGAACUGAGACACGGUCCAGACUCCUACGGGAGGCAGCAGUGGGGAAUAUUGCACAAUGGGCGCAAGCCUGAUGCAGCCAUGCCGCGUGUAUGAAGAAGGCCUUCGGGUUGUAAAGUACUUUCAGCGGGGAGGAAGGGAGUAAAGUUAAUACCUUUGCUCAUUGACGUUACCCGCAGAAGAAGCACCGGCUAACUCCGUGCCAGCAGCCGCGGCAAUACGGAGGGUGCAAGCGUUAAUCGGAAUUACUGGGCGUAAAGCGCACGCAGGCGGUUUGUUAAGUCAGAUGUGAAAUCCCCGGGCUCAACCUGGGAACUGCAUCUGAUACUGGCAAGCUUGAGUCUCGUAGAGGGGGGUAGAAUUCCAGGUGUAGCGGUGAAAUGCGUAGAGAUCUGGAGGAAUACCGGUGGCGAAGGCGGCCCCCUGGACGAAGACUGACGCUCAGGUGCGAAAGCGUGGGGAGCAAACAGGAUUAGAUACCCUGGUAGUCCACGCCGUAAACGAUGUCGACUUGGAGGUUGUGCCCUUGAGGCGUGGCUUCCGGAGCUAACGCGUUAAGUCGACCGCCUGGGGAGUACGGCCGCAAGGUUAAAACUCAAAUGAAUUGACGGGGGCCCGCACAAGCGGUGGAGCAUGUGGUUUAAUUCGAUGCAACGCGAAGAACCUUACCUGGUCUUGACAUCCACGGAAGUUUUCAGUGAUGAGAAUGUGCCUUCGGGAACCGUGAGACAGGUGCUGCAUGGCUGUCGUCAGCUCGUGUUGUGAAAUGUUGGGUUAAGUCCCGCAACGAGCGCAACCCUUAUCCUUUGUUGCCAGCGGUCCGGCCGGGAACUCAAAGGAGACUGCCAGUGAUAAACUGGAGGAAGGUGGGGAUGACGUCAAGUCAUCAUGGCCCUUACGACCAGGGCUACACACGUGCUACAAUGGCGCAUACAAAGGGAAGCGACCUCGCGAGAGCAAGCGGACCUCAUAAAGUGCGUCGUAGUCCGGAUUGGAGUCUGCAACUCGACUCCAUGAAGUCGGAAUCGCUAGUAAUCGUGGAUCAGAAUGCCACGGUGAAUACGUUCCCGGGCCUUGUACACACCGCCCGUCACACCAUGGGAGUGGGUUGCAAAAGAAGUAGGUAGCUUAACCUUCGGGAGGGCGCUUACCACUUUGUGAUUCAUGACUGGGGUGAAGUCGGAACAAGGUAACCGUAGGGGAACCUGCGGUUG
RNAcentral lists this ribosomal RNA (1522 nucleotides) under metagenome. RNAcentral's name for it is "bacterial SSU rRNA". It matches the Rfam family "Bacterial small subunit ribosomal RNA". The record is from RNAcentral.